RNAcentral lists this unclassified non-coding RNA (236 nucleotides) under plant metagenome. RNAcentral's name for it is "partial contains small subunit ribosomal RNA, internal transcribed spacer 1, and 5.8S ribosomal RNA". The record is from RNAcentral.
UUUCCGUAGGUGAACCUGCGGAAGGAUCAUUACUGAGUGAGGGCCCCUCGGGGUCCAACCUCCCACCCGUGUUUAACGAACCUUGUUGCUUCGGCGGGCCCGCCUCACGGCCGCCGGGGGGCAUCUGCCCCCAGGCCCGCGCCCGCCGAAGCCACCUGUGAACGCUGUCUGAAGUAUGCAGUCUGAGACAAUUAUUAAAUUAAUUAAAACUUUCAACAACGGAUCUCUUGGUUCCG